UAUAAAAUUACAGUCAAUGAUAAAUUGAAGGAAGGUAAGAAUUAAGUCAAGUCACUGUGGCCCUUAUGGGUUGGGCUACACACGUGCUACAAUGAAAACAACAAAAAGUUACUAAAAUUUUAUAAAUUUUCGUUAAUCUUUAAAAAUUUUCUCAGUUCGAAUUAUAGGCUGAAACUCGCUUAUAUGAAGUUGGAAUCACUAGUAAUCGCAAAUCAGCACGUUGCGGUGAAUACGUAUCUUGGCCUUGUACACACCGCCCGUCACAU
This 266-nucleotide ribosomal RNA is filed under the name Dactyliosolen fragilissimus. RNAcentral describes it as "partial Bacterial small subunit ribosomal RNA". It matches the Rfam family "Bacterial small subunit ribosomal RNA", at positions 1139 to 1402 of the family's 1533-position model. The record is from RNAcentral. Lineage: Eukaryota; Bacillariophyta; Coscinodiscophyceae; Rhizosoleniales; Rhizosoleniaceae.